UGGUUGGACACCAAGCCUGUGUAAUACUCCUUCGACGAGUCGAGUAGUUUGGGAAUGCUGCUCUAAAUGGGAGGUAAAUCUCUUCUAAAGCUAAAUACCGGCCAGAGACCGAUAGCGCACAAGUAGAGUGAUCGAAAGAUGAAAAGCACCUUGAAAAGGGGGUUAAACAGUACGUGAAAUUGUUGAAAGGGAAGCGUUUAUGACCAGACUUGUGCCGUGUGGCUCAUCCGGGGUUCUCCCCGGUGCACUCCAUACGGUUCAGGCCAACAUCGGUUCUCGUUGGGGGAUAAGAACAGUAGGAACGUGGCCCUCUUCGGAGGGUGUUAUAGCCUAUUGUACGAUACCUUGAUGGGGACCGAGGACCGCGGAUGUUG
This 374-nucleotide ribosomal RNA is filed under the name Melanconis stilbostoma. Its description in RNAcentral is "partial large subunit ribosomal RNA". It matches the Rfam family "Eukaryotic large subunit ribosomal RNA", at positions 226 to 628 of the family's 3401-position model. The record is from RNAcentral. Lineage: Eukaryota; Fungi; Ascomycota; Sordariomycetes; Diaporthales; Melanconidaceae.